Molecule: ribosomal RNA, 286 nt
Filed under: uncultured bacterium
Lineage: Bacteria
Description: partial 16S ribosomal RNA
Rfam family: Bacterial small subunit ribosomal RNA
Source: RNAcentral
AUUGAACGCUGGCGGCAUGCCUUACACAUGCAAGUCGAGCGCGAAAGGGGGCAACCCGAGUAGAGCGGCGGACGGGUGAGUAACACAUCGGAACGUGCCCAGUAGUGGGGGACGAACCUCGAGAAAUCGAGGCUAAUACCGCAUACGACCCACGGGUGAAAGCGGGGACCGCAAGGCCUCGCGCUAUUGGAGCGGCCGAUGUCCGAUUAGCUAGUUGGCGGGGUAAGAGCCCACCAAGGCGACGAUCGGUAGCUGGUCUGAGAGGACGACCAGCCACACUGGGACU